GUGCGGUGUUUUCUGCCAUACGUCCUCGCUGAGGUUUAACCACACGCCUUCCUCCCCGCUGAAAGUCUUUACAACCCGAAGGCCUUCUUCAUACACGCGGCAUGGCUGCAUCAGGCUUGCGCCCAUUGUGCAAUAUUCCCCACUGCUGCCUCCCGUAGGAUC
This 162-nucleotide ribosomal RNA is filed under the name uncultured Pseudomonadota bacterium. Its description in RNAcentral is "uncultured proteobacterium partial 16S ribosomal RNA". The record is from RNAcentral. Lineage: Bacteria; Pseudomonadati; Pseudomonadota.